UAAAUUAAAAUAGCAUUCUACAAACUGCAAAAAGAAAAACUUAGAUCAUUAAGUUUUUUUUCACUAGAGAGAGAUUAAAUAAAAAUAAUCAAAAUGUUUUGUUUUUCAGUUCUCGUGCUUGAGAUCAACUAGGAUCGGCAAAAAUGGCCCAAACCCAUUUAAUCCGCCCAAACCCGCCUGAUGUUGGUUUCUAAUGGGCUGACUUUGGAUAUAGCCCAUAUUAAUCCGUAAAAUCAGCUCGCCCAAGUGCAGUGCAGUAGUGAAGG
This 266-nucleotide long non-coding RNA is filed under the name Nicotiana benthamiana. RNAcentral describes it as "long non-coding RNA (NBEN_LNC018622)". Lineage: Eukaryota; Viridiplantae; Streptophyta; Magnoliopsida; Solanales; Solanaceae. The record is from RNAcentral.